This is a long non-coding RNA of Poeciliopsis prolifica (blackstripe livebearer), 462 nucleotides long. RefSeq lists it as uncharacterized. The transcript is spliced from 4 exons. The record is from RefSeq and is a predicted model, not a curated record. Lineage: Eukaryota; Metazoa; Chordata; Actinopteri; Cyprinodontiformes; Poeciliidae.
CCGAAUAUUAACGCACAUCUGGUUCGGUUCGGUUCUGCUCUCUUUGCAGUGGACAAUCGUUGUUAGCAACAAAGGCAAAGUUUACGUAACUCACCCGCUCCUUGUUCUCCAUAAGCCAGGUGAGGAGGAAUGACGACCCUCCUCCUCUCCCCUAGGCAGAUCCCCAGGAGGCCCUGGUCCAUUCCUGGGAUCACGUAGCCCAUCCCGAUAUCCCUUUUCUCCGUACGCUUUGAACGGUGGGAUCACGAUGUGCCUGACCUCCCCCACACACAUGCCCAGCAGGCCCUCGUCCAUGCCCUUCACCAGCCAGCCCUCGCCCACCAGUGAGUUGUAGGUCUGCUUCCUGUUGUAGCUGCGUGGGGCUCAUACAAGCUCAAAACACCAUUUUCAGUUUAACUUCUGCUGAGAAGCUGUGGAAAUCUCUCAGUUGAAAUAACAAAACGUCCAGAACUCACCUGGAGU